GACGAACGCUGGCGGCGUGCUUAACACAUGCAAGUCGAACGGAAAGGCCUGCUUUCCCUUGUGGAUUGCGGGUGCUCGAGUGGCGAACGGGUGAGUAACACGUGAGUGAUCUGCCCCCAACUUGGGUAUAAGCCUGGGAAACUGGGUCUAAUUCCCGAUAGGACUGCAGGGUGGUGCCUGUGGUGGAAAACGAUUUUCUAGUGGUUGGGGAUGAGCUCGCGGCCUAUCAGCUUGUUGGUGGGGUAAUGGCCUACCAAGGCGGCGACGGGUAGCCGGCCUGAGAGGGUGGACGGCCACAUUGGGACUGAGAUACGGCCCAGAGUCCUACGGGAGGCAGCAGUGGGGAAUAUUGCACAAUGGGCGGAAGCCUGAUGCAGCGACGCCGCGUGGGGGAUGACGGCCUUCGGGUUGUAAACUCCUUUCGACCGCGAGGAAGCCACCUGGUUGGAAGGGUGGUGACGGUAGUGGUAGAAGAAGCACCGGCUAACUACGUG
RNAcentral lists this ribosomal RNA (494 nucleotides) under uncultured bacterium. RNAcentral's name for it is "partial 16S ribosomal RNA". It matches the Rfam family "Bacterial small subunit ribosomal RNA", at positions 28 to 507 of the family's 1533-position model. The record is from RNAcentral.